GACGAACGCUGGCGGCGUGCCUAACACAUGCAAGUCGAACGGAAAGGGCCUGCUGUUGUGGGGUGCUCGAGCGGCGAACGGGUGAGUAACACGUGAGUAGCCUGCCCUUGACUUUGGGAUAACUUCAGGAAACUGGGGUUAAUACCGGAUAGGAGCUCCUGCUGCAUGGUGGGGGUUGGAAAGUUUCGGCGGUUGGGGAUGGACUCGCGGCUUAUCAGCUUGUUGGUGGGGUAGUGGCUUACCAAGGCUUUGACGGGUAGCCGGCCUGAGAGGGUGACCGGCCACAUUGGGACUGAGGUACGGCCCAGACUCCUACGGGAGGCAGCAGUGGGGAAUAUUGCACAAUGGGCGGAAGCCUGAUGCAGCAACGCCGCGUGCGGGAUGACGGCCUUCGGGUUGUAAACCGCUUUCGCCUGUGACGAAGCGUGAGUGACGGUAAUGGGUAAAGAAGCACCGGCUAACUACGUG
This 468-nucleotide ribosomal RNA is filed under the name uncultured bacterium. RNAcentral's name for it is "partial 16S ribosomal RNA". It matches the Rfam family "Bacterial small subunit ribosomal RNA", at positions 28 to 507 of the family's 1533-position model. The record is from RNAcentral.